Molecule: ribosomal RNA, 253 nt
Filed under: uncultured bacterium
Lineage: Bacteria
Description: partial 16S ribosomal RNA
Rfam family: Bacterial small subunit ribosomal RNA
Source: RNAcentral
UACGGAGGGGGCUAGCGUUGCUCGGAAUCACUGGGCGUAAAGGGUGCGUAGGCGGGUCUUUAAGUCAGGGGUGAAAUCCUGGAGCUCAACUCCAGAACUGCCUUUGAUACUGAGGAUCUUGAGUCCGGGAGAGGUGAGUGGAACUGCGAGUGUAGAGGUGAAAUUCGUAGAUAUUCGCAAGAACACCAGUGGCGAAGGCGGCUCACUGGCCCGGUACUGACGCUGAGGCACGAAAGCGUGGGGAGCAAACAGG